Molecule: ribosomal RNA, 464 nt
Filed under: uncultured bacterium
Lineage: Bacteria
Description: partial 16S ribosomal RNA
Rfam family: Bacterial small subunit ribosomal RNA
Source: RNAcentral
AUGCACGCUGGCGGCGUGCUUAACACAUGCCAGUCGAACGAUGAAGCCCAGCUUGCUGGGUGGAUUAGUGGCGAACGGGUGAGUAACACGUGAGUAACCUGCCCUUAACUCUGGGAUAAGCCUGGGAAACUGGGUCUAAUACCGGAUAGGAGCGUCCACCGCAUGGUGGGUGUUGGAAAGAUUUAUCGGUUUUGGAUGGACUCGCGGCCUAUCAGUUUGUUGGUGAGGUAAUGGCUCACCAAGGCGACGACGGGUAGCCGGCCUGAGAGGGUGACCGGCCACACUGGGACUGAGACACGGCCCAGACUCCUACGGGAGGCAGCAGUGGGGAAUAGUGCACAAUGGGCGCAAGCCGGAUGCAGCGACGCCGCGUGAGGGAUGACGGCCUUCGGGUUGUAAACCUCUUUCAGUAGGGAAGAAGCGAAAGUGACGGUACCUGCAGAAGAAGCACCGGCUAACUACGU